RNAcentral lists this ribosomal RNA (495 nucleotides) under uncultured bacterium. Its description in RNAcentral is "partial 16S ribosomal RNA". It matches the Rfam family "Bacterial small subunit ribosomal RNA", at positions 28 to 507 of the family's 1533-position model. The record is from RNAcentral.
GACGAACGCUGGCGGCGUGCCUAAUACAUGCAAGUAGAACGCUGAAGGAGGAGCUUGCUUCUCUGGAUGAGUUGCGAACGGGUGAGUAACGCGUAGGUAACCUGCCUGGUAGCGGGGGAUAACUAUUGGAAACGAUAGCUAAUACCGCAUAAUAGUAGAUGUUGCAUGACAUUUGCUUAAAAGGUGCAAUUGCAUCACUACCAGAUGGACCUGCGUUGUAUUAGCUAGUUGGUGGGGUAACGGCUCACCAAGGCGACGAUACAUAGCCGACCUGAGAGGGGGAUCGGACACACUGGGACUGAGACACGGUCCAGACUCCUACGGGAGGCAGCAGUAGGGAAGCUUCAGCAAUGGACGGAAGUCUGACCGAGCAACGCCGCGUGAGUGAAGAAGGUUUUCGGAUCGUAAAGCUCUGUUGUAAGAGAAGAACGAGUGUGAGAGUGGAAAGUUCACACUGUGACGGUAUCUUACCAGAAAGGGACGGCUAACUACGUG